This is a non-coding RNA of Paramuricea clavata, 1186 nucleotides long. NCBI's taxonomy places the organism in Eukaryota, Metazoa, Cnidaria, Anthozoa, Malacalcyonacea, Plexauridae. The record is from the annotation of a GenBank genome assembly.
CACGUAAGCUCCUGGCAAGCUAGAAGACAGUUCAUUGGGUGUUUGUCAGUUCUUGAAGAAAAUUAAAAAUUGUUUCUAUGUAUUAUAUAAUAUUUUAUAUUAUAGUUAAUAAAUAAUUUUCCAAAAGAACUUAAUGGUUUACUAUUGUCACUGAUGUCUAAUCAUCGUGUCUAAUUAGAUAACGAAGUUCGUCAAAAAUAUUAGUGCAAACAACAAACAGCAGGCAUGUUUACAUUUAUAUUUAUUUACUAAAAUUUAUUUACCCACGCUGACCCCUUCAGCAUGGGCUGAUUUCCAAGGGGGAGAGGAUGGGCCGAUUUCCAAGGGGGGGGGGCGUCAUGUCACAUAAAAAUAACUAUAUACAUAUUAUUUUAUACAAGCAUAUACACUACUUAAAUAGACAAUUAGGUUAAUUAGACAAGUAGGUCAGGUUAACAUCCGAAAUCAAAGCGUUAAAAAAUGUUUAAUGAUGAAGAAUUUCUUAGCUUGCGCGGUAAGCUAUUCCAGAGUUUUGGUCCAUUAUAACUUAUGCAUUUAUAUUGUCAUUAAAAAUCAAUUUGUGUGUUGCACAAUCAAAUGCGACACAAAAUUAAAAACCAUAUCAUACAUAAAGCAAUUAGGUAUAAAAGUUAUACAAUAUUUACAAGUUAUUCAGGGAGCUUCCAUCGCCAAUAAUCGACCUGUACAAUUUAUGUAUAACAAAGUUGAACUACAGUCAAACCCCUAUUAAUUUACGGACGCUUCUCUUAAACCGACAACCCUUUUUAGGCCGACAUAACUAAUAAGCUUUGCAUGGUCCCAUUUAGCCUCCUCCGCAGGCAUCGCCUUUCGAUUAUCGGACAAAAUUUCUUGCAGGCAAAAAAAUCUCACCGACUUUCUGAAGUACGUGAACUACGAGAUGCCUGCGGAGGCUAGGUCCCAUUGUUACGAUGGCCCACAAGGGACAUGCAAACUUAAAUAAAGUCGGUGCAAACUUAAAUAAAGUCGGUGCAAACUUAAAUAAAGUCGGUGCAAACUUAAAUAAAGUCGGUGCAAACUUAAAUAAAGUUGGUGCAAACGUAAAUAAAGUCGGUGCAAACGUAAAUAAAAACUCGGUGCAAACUUAAAUAAAAACUCGGUGCAAAUUUAAAUAAAAACUCGGUGCAAACUUAAAUAAAAACUCGGUGCAAACUUAAAUAAAAACUCG